RNAcentral lists this ribosomal RNA (790 nucleotides) under uncultured Lactobacillus sp. Its description in RNAcentral is "bacterial SSU rRNA". It matches the Rfam family "Bacterial small subunit ribosomal RNA", at positions 28 to 776 of the family's 1533-position model. Lineage: Bacteria; Bacillati; Bacillota; Bacilli; Lactobacillales; Lactobacillaceae. The record is from RNAcentral.
GACGAGCGCUGGCGGCGUGCCUAAUACAUGCAAGUCGAGCGAGCUUGCCUAGAUGAAUUUGGUGCUUGCACCAAAUGAAACUAGAUACAAGCGAGCGGCGGACAGGUGAGUAACACGUGGGUAACCUGCCCAAGAGACUGGGAUAACACCUGGAAACAGAUGCUAAUACCGGAUAACAACACUAGACGCAUGUCUAGAGUUUAAAAGAUGGUUCUGCUAUCACUCUUGGAUGGACCUGCGGUGCAUUAGCUAGUUGGUAAGGUAACGGCUUACCAAGGCAAUGAUGCAUAGCCGAGUUGAGAGACUGAUCGGCCACAUUGGGACUGAGACACGGCCCAAACUCCUACGGGAGGCAGCAGUAGGGAAUCUUCCACAAUGGACGCAAGUCUGAUGGAGCAACGCCGCGUGAGUGAAGAAGGGUUUCGGCUCGUAAAGCUCUGUUGGUAGUGAAGAAAGAUAGAGGUAGUAACUGGCCUUUAUUUGACGGUAAUUACUUAGAAAGUCACGGCUAACUACGUGCCAGCAGCCGCGGUAAUACGUAGGUGGCAAGCGUUAUCCGGAUUUAUUGGGCGUAAAGAGAGAGUGCAGGCGGUUUUCUAAGUCUGAUGUGAAAGCCUUCGGCUUAACCGGAGAAGUGCAUCGGAAACUGGAUAACUUGAGUGCAGAAGAGGGUAGUGGAACUCCAUGUGUAGCGGUGGAAUGCGUAGAUAUAUGGAAGAACACCAGUGGCGAAGGCGGCUCUCUGGUCUGCAACUGACGCUGAGGCUCGAAAGCAUGGGUAGCGAACAGG